UAGAGGAAGAAGAGUAGUCGGUUGUCAAAUGGGCGGAAGGAUAUGCAGUAUUGUGAUUCGCCUCCAGUCUGUUUGACGCCAGGACGGGUGAGAGACGAGGGAAAGAGAGGCAGGAAAAAAAAGAAAAAACUCCUUCAUGUCGGUGUCUGUAAAACAGAGCAAAGGUCGACAGACGCUACACCACUUCAUGAAAGGGAUGGUGGUGUCCCGCAAGGGGGUGUUGAGAAGUGAUUGAAAAGUUUCCUUGCUGUCUUUUCUUUCCUUUCUGUGCGAAUGAGGUGCCCCUUCUCGAAGUGUCAACCUCUUGUAUCUAAUAGCUGACUCAUCGUUGUUUUCAGCCUUAAUUCCUCAGUUACCCUUUACACUAAUUCCUGGAGUGGUUGUGACCCAGUUCCACCCCUCUUCCCGCUUCACUGCAGGCCUUCCUGAGUCCUGAGCACCAGCAGCUGCGUCCUGCCCCGACUUCCUGUCCUUGGUCGUACAAGGCUAAGCUCGUCAACUCCCCUACCCCCCCACAUACACAAACACACACACAAUCAUCUUCCUGGCACACUGCGGGCCGAGAGCGCUUCAGAUCCCACU
Molecule: long non-coding RNA, 582 nt
Filed under: Sinocyclocheilus anshuiensis
Lineage: Eukaryota; Metazoa; Chordata; Actinopteri; Cypriniformes; Cyprinidae
Description: lncRNA (ENSSANG00000031404.1)
Source: RNAcentral